CGAAAGGAGUCUCCGCGCUCUCAAAACCCUUUGUGAACAUACCAAACGUCAGUUGCUUCGGCGGGAGGCCCCUGGGAGGGGCCCCGGGGCCCGGCCAGAGCCGGGCUCCCGCCGGGGCGGCGCCCCCCAAACUCUUGCUGUACCCCAGUGGCACGUCCGAGUAACAAAAAAAAACAAGUUA
RNAcentral lists this unclassified non-coding RNA (181 nucleotides) under uncultured Microascales. RNAcentral's name for it is "sequence contains ITS1". Lineage: Eukaryota; Fungi; Ascomycota; Sordariomycetes; Microascales. The record is from RNAcentral.